This 3904-nucleotide long non-coding RNA is filed under the name Sus scrofa (pig). Its description in RNAcentral is "lncRNA (ENSSSCG00045028362.1)". Lineage: Eukaryota; Metazoa; Chordata; Mammalia; Artiodactyla; Suidae. The record is from RNAcentral.
GUCAUGUGCCAGGAUUUUAGUUAGUACUUGACUGGCAAGUACUGGCUUGAAUUAAUAAAAGCAGCCUUGAAACAACUACAGGUUUGGUUUUUAGCUGCCGUUUUACUCAGCUGUUUUUUGUUUUGUUUUUGCAGUAUCUUUCAACCGAGUGUGUGUGGCAUAAAUUUGUUUAGAUACCACAAUCUUGAAUGGCAUUCCAAAGGCAAGAGUGAAAAUGCCUCAACCUGGUAAAUAAAGAAUAGCAUCCAGAAUUGGGCAUCAGGCUGUCAUCAGUGGAGCUGGACUUCAGCCAUGCCAGGGAUUCUAACGGUCCUCGAAGAAAUGCCUGCAGCACUUUGUUUUACGUACUGAGUCUCUCAUUUUCUUUUUCUUCCUCCCUUUACUCUCAGACUUUUCUACUCUAUUUGUACCCAACUACCAUCUGUUAUUCCUUUUCACACACUUUUCAAACCUUUCUUUCACUGCUGCCCAUUCUGAAUACCUCAUCAUUAGGAGGCAGGUAAUUCUGCAGAGAUUCCAGUGAGUGUAUUGUUUGACAGAAUACCAAUUUUCUACCUUCUAAAAUGGACCUCGUCAUCAUGAAUGAAGACGGUAUGUUUAAGUGGGGCCAUUUGUAUUCUGCAAGAGGUUUGCAGUUGGGACAUGUAGUCAGGUAGGCUUUUUUGUUUGUUUGUUUCCUAAUAUUUUUUUAUUGAAGUAUUAUCGAUUGACAGUAUUAACUUAGUUUCAAGUGCAGAGAAAAGUGAUUCAGUAUUUUUAUAGAUUAUACUUCAUUGUAGGUUAUUACAAGGUAAUGACUAUAAUUCCCUGUAACAUACAAUACACCCUUGCACUUACCUAUUUUUUACAUAGUCGUUUGUAGUUCUUAAUCCCAUACCUUUAAUUUGCCCCUCCUUCCUCCCCUCUCCCUAUUGUUAACCAGUAGUUUGUUUUCUAUAUCUGUGGGUCUGUUUCUGUUUUGCAUAUACAUUCAUUUGAAUCACCUUUUAGAUUCCAUAUAUAAGUUAUAUUAAACAGUAUAUUUCUUUUAUUUCAUUAAGCAUCAUAUUCUCAAGGUUUAUCCACUUUGCUGCAAAUGUCAGGAUUUCAUUAUUUUUUUUAUGGCUGAGUUAUAUAUGUAUAUAAAAUUCACGUCUUCCUUAUCCAUUUUUCUGUUGAUAGGCAUUUGGGUUGUUUCCAUAUCUUGGCUGUUGUAAAUAAUGCUGCUAUGAACAUUGUAGUGCAUGUAUUUUUUCAAUACAUGCCAGGAGUGGAAUUGCUGGAUGCAAAGCAGGUAGUUUUGCAUGAAGCUGAUGAGGUUUGAAGUCUCCCACUUUUCUAAGAGGAAGAGGGAAAAAAAGAGAGGAGGCUAACAUUUAUGGCCUACAUCCCACAUGUUAGGCAUUGGGCUAGAUAAUCUGUCAGCAUUAUGCUUCUUAAUCCUGUCAGUAAUAUUAAGUGGCGGUAUUAUUAUUAUUUCUGGUACAUAGGUGAUGUAACUGAGACUCAAAGGAGUUAAGGGCUAGUUCAAAGUUAUAAAGCUAGUAAAUGGUGAUGCCAAAAUAAAAAUCUGUAUUGUUCCAAAGCCAUUUCUCCCAAUGGCAAGGAGUUGAGAGGAAGUCUCAGAAGAGAAAUGAAAACACAGAGGUAUUGGGGAAUACACAUCUAUCUUUAUAGUGCCAAGCACAUAGUAGACACUCAGUAAAUAUUUAUCAUUGAAUGAAUGCAACAAUUGAUAAACUGUGUAAAGUAUUAUUUAUCCAGCUACUAUCUCUUUGGAAAGAAAACCAUGAAUAUACUGUGUGUUUGCUAAUCAUACUCUCAUAGAUUUGAAGGUAAUUUAAAAGUCACUCAAUACUAGAAACAACAAUACUCCUGACAGUAUGAUCUAGCCUCUCUUAGGUCUUCAAAAAGUGAGGUUCUUACUACUCCACCUGCCGGCCUCCCUCUGCUUUCUGAAAAGCACUAAUUGAAAGCAUAUCCCUAUAUUUCAAAUUCUAAUAUUAGCUUGCCUCAGUGAAAGCAUGCAUUUAUCUAAAUCUUUUUUACAUUUUAUUUUAUUGAAGUAUAGUUGAUUUACAAUGUUAUACUAGUUUCUGCUGUAUGGCAAAGUGAUUGUUACACAUACAUAUAUUCUUUUUCACAUUCAUUUCCACUAUGGUUUAUUACAAGAAUGUAAUUCCCUGUGCUAUAGAGUAGGAUCUUGUUGUUUAUCCAUCCUCUGUAUAAUAGUUUGCAUCUGCUAAUCCACCAAACUUCCAAUCCAUCCCUCCCCACCCCUGCUCUCCCUUAACCACAAGUAUCUUCUCUACCUAUGUAUGUUUCUGUUUCAUGGGUAAGUUCAUUUAUGUCAUAUUUUAGGUUCCAUAUAUAUGUGAUAUCAAAUGAGUACCAUUUGAUGUCUUUCUCUUUCUGACUUACUUCACUUCAUGUGAUGAUUUCUAGGUCCAUCCACGCUGAUGCAAAUGGCAUUAUUUCAUUCUCUUUUAUGACUGAGUAGUAUUCCAUUGUGUGUGUGUAUAUAUAUAUUUUUUCUUUAUCCAUUCAUCUGGGAACAUAGGGAUACACCUGCCUUUUCGAAUACAGUUUUGCCUAGAUAUUGGAUUGCUAGAUCAUAUGGCAACUCUAUUUUUAGCUUUUUGAAGAACCUCCAUACUGUUUUCUAUAGUGGCUGCACAAGUUUAGAUCAUUCCCACCAACAAUGUAGGAGGAGUUUUUCUUUUUUUUUUUUUCAGGGCUGCACCCAUAGCGUAUGGAGGUUCCCAGUAGGGUUGAAUCGGCGCUAUAGCCACUGACCUACAUCACAGCCACAGCAACGCCAGAUCUGAGCUGCAUGUGUGACAUAGACCACAGCUCAAUGGCAACACGGGAUCCUUAGCCCACUGAGCGAGGCCAGGGAUUGAACCUGUGUCCUCAUGGAUGCCAGUCAGAUUUGUUUCCACUGAACCCUGAUGGGAACUCUGAAGGGUUCCCUCUUCUCCACACCCUCUCUAGCAUUUGUUAUUUGUAGACUUUUCAAUAAUGGCCAUUCUGACUGGUAUGAGGUGGAAUCUCAUUGUAGUUUUGAUUUGCAUAUCUCUCAUAAUUAGCAAAAAUGAGCGUCUUUUCAUGUGCCUAUUGGCCAUCUGGAUGUCUUCUUUGGAGAAAUGUCUAGGUGUUCUGCCCAGUUUUUGAUUGGGUUUUUGGUUUUUUGUAACUGAGCUGUGUGAGCUAUUUUUAAUGUUUCUAAUGUAUUUCCCUUCUACCAACCAUCAGGACUUUCAGACAAGUGUUUUAAAAUUUCUAAAAAUAUUAAAAGAACCCAACUGAUACAAUUAUAGCAAUAUUAGGAUCAUUACUAUAUGACAAACUACUGUAAAAAAUCAAGACAACAUAUGACAGUGCAAACAUAAAAUAUAGCACAGCUAUGAUGCAUUUUGCAUCUAAUGAUCUUUUCUCAUAGAGACAAUAAAAAGUGGGUUCUUGAUAGAAUUAUGAGAAUUUUGGGGAGUUCCCGUUGUGGUGCAACAGAAACAAAUCCAACUAGGAACCAUGAGGUUGCAGGUUCAAUCCCUGGCCUCGCUCAAUGGGUUGAGGAUCCGGCAUUUCUGCGAACUGUGGUAUAGGUCACAGAUGAGGCUUGGAUCCAGAGUGGCUGUGUCAUAGGCCCAUAGCUGUAGCUCUGUUUCAACCACUAGCCUAGGAACCUCUAUAUGUGACAGGUGCAGCCCAAACAAAACAAAACAAAACAAAACAAACAACAAAAAAAACACAAAGAAUUAUGAGAAUUCUAAGACUAACUAUUAAGUUAAUAUACUUUAUUAUGUAAGGUGUUGUUAUAGGUCAAAAAAUUAGUACUACUUAAGAUCUUAAAUCUUUAUAUUAUUAUGCUAAUAAGUAAAAAGUUUUAAAUGAAAACUAUUUCAACAUUAGCAAGCAACUUAUG